GGAGGACCAGAGAAGCACACAGUAUUUGAGACACAGAUCAGGCCUAGAAGAUGGACAAGAUCUGGUGAUAAUGAUCUUCUGUCAGUCUGACGUUGAUUUAAAAGCUUCGAAGUGUCAGAAAUGACAAAAGUGAGGAAAUACGAAAAGAGAAAAUUAGUUAGAGAACAUUUGUUAGACAAGUGUCAAAUACUCAGAGAAACCCUAAACCACCUAAAAAUUGUUAUGAAAAUCUAGACAAGCUUUUUCUGAAACAAUCCACAGACUAACCACUCACAGCCUCACUGGAGAUCUGAGAUGCCAUAAUUCAAAUCCCAGCUCAAGCUAAGUCAUACCAGCAACUGGAUCUCCCAC
Molecule: long non-coding RNA, 351 nt
Filed under: Columba livia (rock pigeon)
Lineage: Eukaryota; Metazoa; Chordata; Aves; Columbiformes; Columbidae
Description: partial uncharacterized LOC102086488
Source: RNAcentral